AGCCGUCAGCCAGGUUGAGGGACAUGAGUCGGAGUACUCCUCCUUCACAAACCCGAUUUUCAGUUCCACAGACAUGGGCCCGAACCUACCAAGUGCCACAGAGUUUGAGAGCAGCGACUGGCCAACCCCGCCCAACCAGUAACCACCAGACCGAGCUGUACACGAUUUUAUUAUACUACAAACUUUUUUCUUUCAAUUUUACAUUACGGUUUACAACUGUACGGUGUUUUAUACCCAUGUCCCAUACCGUACAAUAAAAAUUAGUUUAAGCAUGGAUUCGGUUUUUUUCAGAAAUUGAUAGAAAAAAAUAACAUGAACCUUUGGUCUGUUUUGGCGCUGGGGUAUUGGAUCUCCCUAAUUUCCAGCAGUUUCCAAAGACGGAGCCUGGUGUCACAAUAUUGCUUGAGAAGAGGAAAAACUAGAAAUGUCAUGCUAGAAGUCACCUUGGGUGUGCUAGAAGCCACAUUAUCCACACAAAUGGUGAUCUAUUAUCUGUUCCUGAUGCCCGAGGGCAAGGGCAAUCAGUACUCCUUCAACAUACUGUGCGCCCUCUCAAACUGGAUCUAAACCCCUGCUGGACUCGUACCAUUGCCUUAAAUUAUAGUUUUAUUGUAAAAAAGUGUAUUUUUACACGGUUUUAAUAAAUAUGUUAUGUAUA
Eurytemora carolleeae is the source of this 658-nucleotide long non-coding RNA. RefSeq lists it as uncharacterized. The transcript is spliced from 3 exons. Lineage: Eukaryota; Metazoa; Arthropoda; Copepoda; Calanoida; Temoridae. The record is from RefSeq and is a predicted model, not a curated record.